CCUAGGGGGGGCAGCAGUGGGGAAUAUUGGACAAUGGGCGAAAGCCUGAUCCAGCCAUGCCGCGUGUGUGAAGAAGGCCUUCGGGUUGUAAAGCACUUUCAGUGGGGAAGAAAGCCUUGGGGCUAAUACCCUCGAGGAAGGACAUCACCCACAGAAGAAGCACCGGCUAACUCCGUGCCAGCAGCCGCGGUAAUACGGAGGGUGCGAGCGUUAAUCGGAAUUACUGGGCGUAAAGCGCGCGUAGGCGGUCUGAUAAGCCGGUUGUGAAAGCCCCGGGCUCAACCUGGGAACGGCAUCCGGAACGGUCAGGCAGAGGGGCAGGAGAGGGAGGAAGAAUUCCCGGUGUAGCGGUGAAAUGCGUAGAGAGCGGGAGGAAUACCAGUGGCGAAGGCGGCCUUCUGGACUGACACUGACGCUGAGGUGCGAAAGCGUGGGUAGCAAACAGGAUUAGAUACCCCAGUAGU
RNAcentral lists this ribosomal RNA (464 nucleotides) under Vreelandella stevensii. RNAcentral's name for it is "partial 16S ribosomal RNA". It matches the Rfam family "Bacterial small subunit ribosomal RNA", at positions 338 to 794 of the family's 1533-position model. The record is from RNAcentral. Lineage: Bacteria; Pseudomonadati; Pseudomonadota; Gammaproteobacteria; Oceanospirillales; Halomonadaceae.